CUAAGGUUAGUUAAAGAUUAUAAUAUCAGUUUUGGGAAUUGAAGUUGUGAGAUGAGUCCCACCUUUGA
RNAcentral lists this transfer RNA (68 nucleotides) under Microcosmus sulcatus. Its description in RNAcentral is "transfer RNA-Pro". Lineage: Eukaryota; Metazoa; Chordata; Ascidiacea; Stolidobranchia; Pyuridae. The record is from RNAcentral.